CAAAGCGCGAAAGUAAAUUUGUCUCGGAUAUUGGAAAAAAGAAACGCGCGUGUUAGUCAGUUAAAUAGUUACUUAGUUAGUUACUUAUUUUGUUUGAAGUUAAUAAAUGUGUAUUGAAAAGUGAAAGGCAACAAUAACUUAAACGGCUGCAAGAUCUUCCACAAUGUGGCCAACGGACUGUCAGUCGACUUAGCCUACGAUUCAAAACAAUUAUGAAUAACAACAGAACUGGAAAUACCCGCGGGCGCGGGAGACCAAAGAAACGACAGUUUCAACAGAAAAAGGAAGGAAGACCAGAUGAUGUUGUUAAAAAGGAUAAGUAUAUGGUUGCUCAGUCUACCACACAGGAAAGUAUAGAAAAAUCCAAUGCUAAUACAAAUGUAAAUAAAACAACAACAAAAAUUUUAACUUUACAAAAUUUGCUUACUCUUGGCCCAAUUAAUGUUUUGUCCGUCACAACUGACUUUGGUCUACAGGAUUCUGUUUUUGGACCCUGGGAGUAUAAAAAUGAUCAUAACUGCAUCGUAAAGUAUACCAUUCAAGGCUCAGACAUCAGUCAUUCAAUUCGCCUUGAUAACAUGUUAACAAGAGGAAUACCAACUACUGAAAGAUCAUCCCUCGCUUUCCGUUGGUAUUCAUGGAUUCGUUUGAAGGCCAUUGCAAAUCAAAAAAACUUAACAAUAAACUCAGUGCUGACGAAUGAGGGUCAAUUUCUUUCACUUCUACACGAAGUAAAUCUUUAUUACACUAAAUAUUCAAAAGCUUGUAGAGAUGAAGGCUUAGAGCCAAAUCGUGGACCACAAUCCCAUGAAGAUGCUUGCAAUUUAGAGCGCCUUCAUUAUUAUGGAAAGGGCACAAUAAAAUACUACAGAAAAACAACUUUCUUGCAGUUAGUUGCAAAAAGAUAUGGAGAAAAUG
Dreissena polymorpha is the source of this 918-nucleotide long non-coding RNA. RefSeq lists it as uncharacterized. The record is from RefSeq and is a predicted model, not a curated record. Lineage: Eukaryota; Metazoa; Mollusca; Bivalvia; Myida; Dreissenidae. The transcript has 3 exons.